RNAcentral lists this ribosomal RNA (497 nucleotides) under uncultured bacterium. RNAcentral describes it as "partial 16S ribosomal RNA". It matches the Rfam family "Bacterial small subunit ribosomal RNA", at positions 28 to 507 of the family's 1533-position model. The record is from RNAcentral.
GAUGAACGCUGGCGGCGUGCCUAAUACAUGCAAGUCGAGCGAACAGACGAGGAGCUUGCUCCUCUGACGUUAGCGGCGGACGGGUGAGUAACACGUGGAUAACCUACCUAUAAGACUGGGAUAACUUCGGGAAACCGGAGCUAAUACCGGAUAAUAUAUUGAACCGCAUGGUUCAAUAGUGAAAGACGGUUUUGCUGUCCCUUAUAGAUGGAUCCGCGCCGCAUUAGCUAGUUGGUAAGGUAACGGCUUCCCAAGGCAACGAUGCGUAGCCGACCUGGGAGGGUGAUCCGCCACACGGGAACUGAAACACGGUCCAGACACCGACGGAAGGCAGCAGUAGGGAAGCUUCCGCGAUGGGCGAAAGCCUGACGGAGCAGCGCCGCGUGGGUGAUGAGGGGCUUCGGAUCGUAAAACUCUGUUAGUAGGGAAGAACAAAUGUGUAAGUAACUAUGCACGUCUUGACGGUACCUAAUCAGAAAGCCACGGCUAACUACGUG